UCGCGGACGUCGUGGGUGACCUAGCCCCCAAUCCACCACAGCCCCAUCCCUCCCACCUCCUCCUCCCUUGUCCGCCGCCGCAUCCCACCCUCUCCUCCUCCCUCUUCUGCUUCCUACCUCCUCCCCGGAUGGUGACAAGUCUUGUUGAUUGGGAGACAUGGCAGGACGGCUGGCCUCUCGGGCUGGGCACUCUGAAACCGGGAGCCGGAGCGGUCAGGAGCGUCGGCUCCUCCUCCUCCACCGCGGCCUUCACCCCGUCCCACUGCGUCUCGUCCGUCGCUUCGUCUGAGCUAGACACAGAGUCGGCAUGGUCUUUGCCGCACGCUGGUGGCGGCGGCGGCAUCACGCUGGCGGCCCUGAUCGGCCUGGUGGAUGCCAUGGAGAGCCGGUGCAGCAGGCGCUGGGGCGAGAGGGCGAGCAGGAGCGGCAAGCUGCGGGCGCUGCUGCUCUCGCUAUGCCUCCGGAGCCACCUGAGAACGCCGGCGGCGCGGCGCCGUCGCUCGGCCAGUUCCUCGAGAUGGAACCGUGCCUGACGAGCCUGUAUCCACGAUGCAACCGACGGAUGAACAAGAUUUGCAUGUUGUUAUUCUAAAAAAAAGGAUUUGCAUGCUUGUUGCUCUUUUUUUAGGGACAUGUUGUUGCUCUUUUUGAAUUAGCGUGAGUGGGCAAAAAAUUAGCACUAAAUUUGUUGACUUUCAUUUUUUUGAACAACGACAGUUGCUGACACAAUAAGUCUGCAUUUCGCUUCAGAAUUCAGAGGAGGUCAACAUUUUUUUAUAGUCCUAACAAGGUCACACCUUUUCCCUUUUUCUUUCUUUGUCCCUCAAUUGGGGCUACUGAGUGUUUGCGAUGGAAAUUUAUGGGUCAGUGUUUGCAUUGGUUUGUGGGGAUUACAGGUUGAUAAGGAAUUCAUGCUUGAUGGUUUUUGACGUUCUACAUAUGUUCAGGAAAGAAGAUAGUAGGACAAAGCUAGAGGAGAACUAUGGUGAAAAGAAUAAUUUGCUUUGUCACUGUAUAAGGGAGUUACGUCCAUGGUUAAGGUACAGAUCAAGGAGGUCGACAAAUGGGAUGAGGUUGGGUGAUGUGUACGAGGGAGGAAAAAGGUGUAGGUCCUUGUUUUUUGGGUGAUGGUGAUGUGAAGGUUAGCUACUAUGAUCAAGGAAAUAACAUGUAUCUGUGUGGUUUCUUCCUGUUGUUGAUCAGCCAUUGCUGCAUUUAAGUGACAGUGGUCAGGACGAUGCAGUUGUUGAGAUUGACGACAGAGAAAGAGCUAUGUAGUGUUUCAAGGAAAUAUGAAUGAAGUGAUAGUACUUGCAAACAUGGACUCCUCUUUGCUGGACGAGGAUAACUAAAAUACAAAUUUAGUAGGAAGUAAUUACAUGAUUGAUCUCAGUUUUGUACAUGUUAGGUGAGCAUUAUAAGUUCUACUUCCCAUAAGAGAGUGUAUUUUAGUGUUGCAGAUUGUUUCUAUUUUAGAGCAAGAAGCCAAAUCAUGUUGGUCGUCGUAAAUCUUGGAAAACUUGUUGUUUAUUGUCACUUCUAUCUAUGUUAUAAACUUUUGUUCUUGGUGU
Molecule: RNA transcript, 1571 nt
Organism: Triticum dicoccoides
Lineage: Eukaryota; Viridiplantae; Streptophyta; Magnoliopsida; Poales; Poaceae
Exons: 6
Source: RefSeq, a predicted model, not a curated record